RNAcentral lists this ribosomal RNA (355 nucleotides) under uncultured bacterium. RNAcentral's name for it is "partial 16S ribosomal RNA". It matches the Rfam family "Bacterial small subunit ribosomal RNA", at positions 338 to 691 of the family's 1533-position model. The record is from RNAcentral.
CCUACGUGUGGCAGCAGUGAGGAAUAUUGGUCAAUGGGCGCGAGCCUGAACCAGCCAAGUCGCGUGAGGGAAGACGGUCCUAUGGAUUGUAAACCUCUUUUGUCGGGGAGCAAAAGACGCCCCGCGUGGCGUUCCGAGAGUACCCGAAGAAAAAGCAUCGGCUAACUCCGUGCCAGCAGCCGCGGUAAUAGGGAGGAUGCGAGCGUUAUCCGGAUUUAUUGGGUUUAAAGGGUGCGCAGGGGGAAGAUCAAGUCACCGGUAAAAUUGAGAGGCUCAACCUCUUCGAGCCGUGGAAACUGGUUUUCGUGAGUGAGCGAGAAGAAUGCGGAAGGCGGGGGGUAGCGGGGAAAUGCAG